GGAAGUAAAAGUUGUAACAAGGUUUCCGUAGGUGAACCUGCGGAAGGAUCAUUAUUGUAUAACCGAGGUGCGAGGGCUGUCGCUGACCCGAAAGGUCGUGCACGCCCGAGUGCCCUCACACACAUCCAUCUCACCCCUAUGUGCACCACCGCGUGGGUCCCCCUUUGGCUUGUUCGGAGGGGGGCUUACGUUUUCACACAAACUUUGUAUGCAGUGUAGAAUGUAUUUUUUGUUUUUGCGAUCACGCAAUCAAUACAACUUUCAACAACGGACCUCUUGGCUCUC
This 285-nucleotide unclassified non-coding RNA is filed under the name plant metagenome. RNAcentral describes it as "partial contains small subunit ribosomal RNA and internal transcribed spacer 1". The stretch from base 1 to 54 matches the Rfam family "Eukaryotic small subunit ribosomal RNA", at positions 1778 to 1831 of the family's 1831-position model. The record is from RNAcentral.